Small nuclear RNA from Cavia aperea (Brazilian guinea pig), 103 nucleotides. NCBI's taxonomy places the organism in Eukaryota, Metazoa, Chordata, Mammalia, Rodentia, Caviidae. The record is from Ensembl.
UUGCUUUAGCAGCACAUGUAAUAAAAUUGGAAUGAUACAGAGAAGAUUGCCAUGACUCCUGCACAAGGUUGACAUGCAAAAUCGUGAAGUGUUCCAUAUUUUU